RNAcentral lists this ribosomal RNA (354 nucleotides) under bacterium LimB-1-A-271. RNAcentral's name for it is "bacterial SSU rRNA". It matches the Rfam family "Bacterial small subunit ribosomal RNA", at positions 289 to 655 of the family's 1533-position model. The record is from RNAcentral.
GGCCCGAGAGGACGACCGGCCACACUGGGACUGAGACACGGCCCAGACUCCUACGGGAGGCAGCAGUGGGGAAUAUUGCACAAUGGGCGCAAGCCUGAUGCAGCGACGCCGCGUGAGGGAUGACGGCCUUCGGGUUGUAAACCUCUUUCAGCAGGGAAGAAGCGCAAGUGACGGUACCUGCAGAAGAAGCACCGGCUAACUACGUGCCAGCAGCCGCGGUAAUACGUAGGGUGCGAGCGGCGUCCGGAAUUAUUGGGCGUAAAGAGCUCGUAGGCGGCCUGUCACGUCGGAUGUGAAAGCCCCGGGCUUAACCCCGGGUCGGCAUUCGAUACGGGCAGGCUGGAGUUCGGCAGG